Hippopotamus amphibius kiboko is the source of this 465-nucleotide non-coding RNA. NCBI's taxonomy places the organism in Eukaryota, Metazoa, Chordata, Mammalia, Artiodactyla, Hippopotamidae. The record is from the annotation of a RefSeq genome assembly.
CCCUCUCCCCUCUCAGCAGCACAUAGACACAGAGGACCCUCCGCCUGCCCCACCCCCACCAUGAGCACCUGCCUCCUGUGCUGUGUGGCCUUCUGUCUCCUGCAGGCAGGCCCAGUGAACGCUGGCGUCACUCAGGACCCAAAAUUUCAGGUGCUGAGGACAGGACAGAACAUGACAGUAAAAUGUACCCAGGACGUGGACCACAUCUAUAUGUACUGGUACCGACAAGACCUGGGACACGGGCUGAGGCUGAUCCAUUACUCAGCUGGCACUGCCAGCACCAGCAAAGGAGACGGUCCCAAGGGGUACAGCAUCUCCAGACCAAACCUCAAGAACUUCCCUCUCACGCUGGAGUCCGCCACCCCCUCCCAGACAUCUGUGUACUUCUGUGCCAGCAGUGACUCCACGGCGCUGCACGGCCACCUCCUCUCUGCACAAAAACACAGGGCAGGCCUUGCACCCUAA